UGAGGCAUGCAGCUAUGCAAAAUUCAGAAUCUGGAAGGAUUACUGCUAAGCAUAUGACAAUGCAACCGCAUUUUUCACCAAGUAAAUCACCCAAGAGGAAAUGUGGGCUUUUGUCUAAAAAGAUCAGAAAACUAUCUUCAUUGACUGGUAAUAAAGAGGAAGAAAGGAAACCAGUGGUAGAGAAACUAAAGGGUCCUGUUAUAGCUUGUAUCCCGCUUAAAUUAGUGUUCAGUAGGAUAAAUGAGGCAGUGAAUGGUUCAGCACGACAAACACACCGUGCCUUAACAUAAUUAACUCAUGAAUUUGGUUCUUGGAAAACACUUGCAGAAAGUGGAAUUCUACCCUCAUAUUUGGUUUAUUGGUGUUUUGGGAAUGUUGUUUGACAUAGGGAUUCUCAGCUUAUUCAAACCAUGCUUGGUCUGUUGCAGCAG
RNAcentral lists this unclassified non-coding RNA (431 nucleotides) under Hevea brasiliensis (rubber tree). Lineage: Eukaryota; Viridiplantae; Streptophyta; Magnoliopsida; Malpighiales; Euphorbiaceae. The record is from RNAcentral.